This 648-nucleotide long non-coding RNA is filed under the name Marmota monax (woodchuck). Lineage: Eukaryota; Metazoa; Chordata; Mammalia; Rodentia; Sciuridae. The record is from RNAcentral.
GUCUCAGCCUGUCGGGGAAGGGGAUGUCAGUUUGGGAGGUGCUGCCAGGCUCCAGCAGUGUGGCCUAUGGUCCCAGCUACUCAGGAUGCUGAGGCAGGAAGAGCCAGGAGCUCAAGGCCAGAUGGGCAGCACAGAGAGACCCUUUGAUCUGCUGACCUGUCACGUAAGUGCUUCAGUGCAUGUCUCUUAACCAUGCACCUUAGGACAGAGUCGCCAUCGCUGCAGGUGAUGAUGCCCAGCCAGGGCUCGCAGUCCUGACGCCAUCCUCGAGCACUGCCCUCCUGCAUUUCCUAACGCUGGUCGGGGUCCCACCUGUGGGCAACAGAACCAGGGUGGUGCCCUGGGCCGAGGGCCUGGUGGGUCCUGGUUGGCAGGAAGCUGCUGCACUCCCUGGGUCUGCAGCUGGGGCCUGGCUGGGGCGGCGGGUGGGGUAGAGGGAGGCGCUGCUUCUUCACCCCUGGGAAGAGCCAAGGCGAGGCCUGGCCCCACAAAACCUGCUCGCACUAUCUCAGGGAGCCCUGGAAUAAGAAUCCCUCGUCACGUCAGGUUGUCAGGGCCAACCGGGAAGCUGGCCCGUCCCCCAGCCUCUUCAGCAUGGAAGCUAGCCCUGCCUGGACAGAGCCUCCCUGGAGGGAGGGAAGUGCCUGG